RNAcentral lists this ribosomal RNA (1536 nucleotides) under Triticum aestivum (bread wheat). Its description in RNAcentral is "partial small subunit ribosomal RNA". Lineage: Eukaryota; Viridiplantae; Streptophyta; Magnoliopsida; Poales; Poaceae. The record is from RNAcentral.
AUGGAGGGGUGGUUAAGCUUGUGUUUCAUAGCCGGAUCCACGCUACUGGCAAUUUGGUUUCUCGAGCUCUCCCGUCGCAACCCCAAUAAGAAGCUGCCUCCAGGGCCAUGGACUCUCCCCAUCGUCGGCAGCCUCCUCCACGUCGUUGGCGCCUUCCCGCACCGCACCAUUGCAGAACUGUCUCGCCGGCACGGGCCGCUGAUGCACCUCAGGCUAGGCGAAGUCGCCACCAUGGUGGUCUCCAGCGCCGAGGUGGCGGCGCUGGUCUUGAAGACCAACGACCUUACGUUCGCGGACCGGCCUCGCACUGUGACGCAGAACAUCUUCGGCAGUGGCGGCAAGGACAUCGCCUUUGCCCCCUACGGCGCCGCGUGGCGCCAGAUGCGCAAGGUGUGCGUCAUGGAGAUCCUCGGCUCCAAGCAGGCGAGGCGCACGGAGCGCAUCAGGACUGAGGAGGUCGGCAGCCUCCUUCGCUCCAUCGUCAGCGCCUCGGCCGUCGGCGGCGCCGGCGCUACGGUUAACGUCAGCGAGAAGGUGGCGAUGCUUAGCAACGACGUCGUUUCGCGGGCGGUUUUCGGCGGGAAGGUCGCGCAGCGGGACGAGUACAUCCGCGAGUUGGGCGAGGCCAUGGAGCUCGUGACCGGCUUCUGCCUCGUCGACAUCUUCCCCUCGUCGCGGCUGGUGCGGUGGCUUAGCAGCGUCGAGAGGCGUAUGAGGAGGAGCUACGGCCGUAUGCAGAGCAUCAUCGCUGACAUCCUCGACGAGCGCAAGGCCGCACGAGCUGCCGGCGAUGGCUCCUGCAGCACCGACGAUGAGGACCUGCUGGAAGUGCUGCUCAGGCUGCAGGCCGAGGACUCGUUGGAAUUCCCUCUAACCACAGAGAUUAUAGGCGCCGUCAUGUUUGACAUGUUUGCUGGUGGCACGGAUACCACCGCAACCGUUUUGGAGUGGGCUAUGUCGGAACUCGUGAACAAUCCCGAAGCCAUGACUAAAGCACAACUAGAGGUCCGAGAGGUGCUUGGUGAAGACCGAGUUAUCAUUACCAACUGUGACAUUGCUAAACUCCCCUACAUGAGGAUGGUCAUCAAGGAGGUUCUGAGGUUGCAUCCACCCAUUCCUCUAGUCCCUCGCAUGGCUAGAGAUGAUUGCACAAUUAUGGGUUAUGACAUGCUUAAAGGCACCAAUGUAUUAGUUAAUGUCUUCGCAAUUUCCAGAGAUUCAAGAUAUUGGGAAAAUCCUGAAGAGUUUAAGCCCAAGAGAUUUGAGAACAACAAUAUGGAUUACAAUGUGACGUAUUUUGAAUUUAUUCCCUUUGGGGCUGGGCGACGGCAGUGCCCUGGGAUGUUUUUUGGCAUGUCGACAGUGCACAUCACAUUGGCAAACAUGUUGUAUCACUUCAAUUGGAUGCUUCCUGAAGGGGCUUGUCUGACUUCAUUUGACAUGUCUGAGAAAUUUGGGUUGACAAUAAGACGAAGAUAUGACCUGCAGCUCAGAGCUAUUACACGGGUGGGCGUCAAAGAUAUACUGUCGAAGUGA